ACGGGAGUAGAAAUACUCCAGUGGCGGACGGGUGAGUAACGCGUGAGAAUCUGCCUUCUGGUCGGGGACAACCACUGGAAACGGUGGCUAAUACCGGAUGAGCCGAAGGGUAAAAGAUUAAUUGCCAGAAGAGGAGCUCGCGUCUGAUUAGCUAGUUGGUGGGGUAAAGGCUCACCAAGGCAUCGAUCAGUAGCUGGUCUGAGAGGACGAUCAGCCACACUGGGACUGAGACACGGCCCAGACUCCUACGGGAGGCAGCAGUGGGGAAUUUUCCGCAAUGGGCGAAAGCCUGACGGAGCAAGACCGCGUGAGGGAAGAAGGCUCUUGGGUCGUAAACCUCUUUUGUUAGGGAAGAACACAAUGACGGUACCUAACGAAUCAGCCUCGGCUAACUCCGUGCCAGCAGCCGCGGUAAUACGGAGGAGGCAAGCGUUAUCCGGAAUUAUUGGGCGUAAAGCGUCCGCAGGUGGCUAUUCAAGUCUGCGGUCAAAGACUGGGGCUUAACCCUGGAAAGGCCGUGGAAACUGAAGAGCUAGAGUGCAGUAGGGGUAGAGGGAAUUCCCGGUGUAGCGGUGAAAUGCGUAGAGCUCGGGAAGAACAUCGGUGGCGAAAGCGCUCUGCUGGACUGCAACUGACACUCAGGGACGAAAGCUAGGGGAGCGAAUGGGAUUAGAUACCCCAGUAGUC
RNAcentral lists this ribosomal RNA (687 nucleotides) under uncultured cyanobacterium. RNAcentral describes it as "bacterial SSU rRNA". It matches the Rfam family "Bacterial small subunit ribosomal RNA", at positions 66 to 795 of the family's 1533-position model. The record is from RNAcentral. Lineage: Bacteria; Bacillati; Cyanobacteriota.